UGCCAGACUCCUACGGGAGGCAGCAGUGGGGGAUAUUGCACAAUGGGGGAAACCCUGAUGCAGCGACGCCGCGUGGGUGAAGAAGCGCCUCGGCGCGUAAAGCCCUGUCAGCAGGGAAGAAAAUGACGGUACCUGAGUAAGAAGCCCCGGCUAACUACGUGCCAGCAGCCGCGGUAAUACGUAGGGGGCAAGCGUUAUCCGGAUUUACUGGGUGUAAAGGGAGCGUAGACGGCCAGGCAAGUCUGGAGUGAAAGCCCGGGGCUCAACCCCGGGACUGCUUUGGAAACUGCCAGGCUGGAGUGCUGGAGAGGCAAGCGGAAUUCCUAGUGUAGCGGUGAAAUGCGUAGAUAUUAGGAAGAACACCAGUGGCGAAGGCGGCUUGCUGGACAGUAACUGACGUUGAGGCUCGAAAGCGUGGGGAGCAAACAGGAUUAGAUACCCUGGUAU
Molecule: ribosomal RNA, 447 nt
Filed under: uncultured bacterium
Lineage: Bacteria
Description: bacterial SSU rRNA
Rfam family: Bacterial small subunit ribosomal RNA
Source: RNAcentral